This 433-nucleotide ribosomal RNA is filed under the name uncultured bacterium. Its description in RNAcentral is "partial 16S ribosomal RNA". It matches the Rfam family "Bacterial small subunit ribosomal RNA", at positions 36 to 507 of the family's 1533-position model. The record is from RNAcentral.
CCCUCCCUCUUUCUUCCUGCCUAACACAUGCAAGUCGAGCGAGGACGUCGGUUCUAGCGGCGGACGGGUGAGUAACGCGUGGGAAUGUGCCCUUCUCUACGGAAUAGCCCUGGGAAACUGGGAGUAAUACCGUAUACGCUCUAUUGGGGAAAGAUCUAUCGGAGAGGGAUCAGCCCGCGUUGGAUUAGGUAGUUGGUGGGGUAAUGGCCUACCAAGCCGACGAUCCAUAGCUGGUUUGAGAGGAUGAUCAGCCACACUGGGACUGAGACACGGCCCAGACUCCUACGGGAGGCAGCAGUGGGGAAUCUUAGACAAUGGGGGCAACCCUGAUCUAGCCAUGCCGCGUGAGUGAUGAAGGCCUUAGGGUUGUAAAGCUCUUUCAGCUGGGAAGAUAAUGACGGUACCAGCAGAAGAAGCCCCGGCUAACUCCGUG